CUUCACUCUUCUAAAUUGUGAGCUUGGACCACUGAAGACUUAGCAGCCAAGAUCAGAUGCAAGCUACUGCAAUGGAUAGAGGAUAACCUGUGUGUUUUGAGAAAGGACUGAAAGGUGCAAGGCCUCACUUAGCAGAAAGAACUUCAUGGUCCUGCAGUCCAUUGUUAUGGCUAGCUCAGAGAUCCAGAGUGAUCCAAGAGGCCAAAUCCUGCCUGCUGAGCUUGAAGUGAAGUUUCAGUGACUUCAACGGAACUACUUGGAAGAGCAACCCAGCAGGAUGAAGUUUAAAAAUCUCUCUUUUGUGUGACUGCUUCCACUUAUUGUACUGAGAAAACAACACAGCCACUUUUGAGAGCUCUUCAUCAAAUAAAGUUCUGAGUUCAGCUUUAGAUUCAAGCUCACCAACUGAA
Molecule: non-coding RNA, 410 nt
Organism: Coturnix japonica (Japanese quail)
Lineage: Eukaryota; Metazoa; Chordata; Aves; Galliformes; Phasianidae
Source: RefSeq, a predicted model, not a curated record